GUCCGCGUUAUUUGUUACAACCUUGUUGGGACUAGGCUGGAUUGUUGGGUUCUUUCUCCUGGUAGACAGUACGGACAGUGAUUUGUCAAAAAUCAUCAGAUGGACUUUCAUAUUAGUGAACACCCCACAGGGUGUUUUCAUAUUCAUAUUUCACGUUCUGCUAAAGGAGGAUGUACAAACGUUCUGGGUGCAUGUUUACAAAUUGGUGGUUCGAGAGAGCAUAGCGUGGAGUUUUGACCGGUUACAAUCAGAUGAGAGAGACAAUAAGAAUCAACCAGCAGAUGAGACUGAGCAAACAGCAGAAAACGAAUGUUAAUAAAUGUGCAAAAGGUGAAUCAGCAUGAAAUGAAAUG
Bolinopsis microptera is the source of this 353-nucleotide long non-coding RNA. RefSeq lists it as uncharacterized. The record is from RefSeq and is a predicted model, not a curated record. Lineage: Eukaryota; Metazoa; Ctenophora; Tentaculata; Lobata; Bolinopsidae. The transcript is spliced from 3 exons.